Molecule: ribosomal RNA, 1734 nt
Filed under: Cryptoglena skujai
Lineage: Eukaryota; Euglenozoa; Euglenophyceae; Euglenales; Euglenaceae
Description: LSU rRNA
Rfam family: Bacterial large subunit ribosomal RNA
Source: RNAcentral
AGGGAAACAGCCCAGAUCACCAUUUAAGGCCCCUAAAUAAUUGCUAAGUGAUAAAGGAUGUAAUAGUACAUAGACAACCAGGAGGUUUGCCUAGAAGCAGCAAUCCUUUAAAAAGUGCGUAAUAGCUUACUGGUCAAGUGCUUUUGCGCCGAAAAUGAAUGGGACUAAGUAAUUUGCCGAAAGUGUGAGAUUAUAUCGGUAGAAGAGCGUUCUGUAUUAGUGUGAAGCAAUGGCGGGAGCUUUUGUGGACUAUUCAGAAGUGAGAAUGACAGCUUAAGUAACGAAAACAUUGGUGGAAAUCCAAUGCUCCGAAAACCUAAGGAUUCCCUCGCAAGGUUCGUCCACGAGGGGUUAGUCAGGACCUAAAAUGAGGUUUAAAAACAUAGUUGAUGGUUAACGGGUUAAUAUUCCCGUACUGCUUAUUUGUUUUGUUAAAGUUGACGAAGGAGGCUAGUUCGGCCAGUUUUUGGUUAUUAUUGGUUAAAUCUUCAAAGGCGUAGAGAUUAGUUAUAAAAAACUUUUUGAGCUAAUGAGAAAUUACGAUAGGUGUUACGGCACUGAAAGUGAAUGAGGUCAAACUUCCUAGAAAAUACUUGGUAACGUUUAACAGAUAGUACCUGUACCUUAAACUGACACAGGUAGGUUAGUAGAGAAUACUAAGGAGCGCGAGAUAACUCUUUCUAAGGAACUCGGCAAAAUGACUCUGUAACUUCGGGAGAAAGAGUGCCUUAUAUUUAUAAGGCCGCAGUGAUCAGAUCCAAGCGACUGUUUACCAAAAACACAGGUCUCCGCUAAGUUGAAAAACAAUGUAUGGGGGCUGACGUCUGCCCAGUGCCGGAAGGUUAAAGAAAUUGGUUAGCAAUUGCGAAGCUAGUGACUGAAGCCCUGGUGAACGGCGGCAGUAACUAUAACUGUCCUAAGGUAGCGAAAUUCCUUGUCGGGUAAGUUCCGACCUGCACGAAAGACGUAACGAUUUGGAUACUGUCUCAGGAAGAGGCUCGGUGAAAUAGAAUUGACUGUGAAGAUGCGGUCUACUUACACUUGGACAGAAAGACCCUAUGAAGCUUUACUGUAACUUGAAAUUGGUUUUGGAUUUUUUUUGCGCAGGGAAUAGGUGGGAGGCUAUGAACCUCUUUUUCGGAAGAUGGGGAGCUGUAAUGUGAGAUACCACUCUUGAAAAAUUAGAAAUCUAAUGAUAUUUUAAUCAUGAUAUUUGACAGUUUCAGGUGGGCAGUUUUACUGGGGCGGUAGCCUCCUAAAAGGUAACGGAGGCGCACAAAGGUUUUCUCAGGCUGGACGGAAAUUAGUUGUAGAGUGUAAAGAUAUAAGAAAGCUUGACUGUGAGACUUAUAAGUCGAACAGAGACAAAAGUCGGUCUUAGUGAUCCGAAGUUGCUGUGUGGAAAGGACUUCGCUUAUCAGAUAAAAGUUACUCUAGGGAUAACAGGCUGAUCUCCCCCAAGAGUUCACAUCGACGGGGAGGUUUGGCACCUCGAUGUCGGCUCAUCGCAUCCUGGGGCAGUAGUAUGUCCCAAGGGUUAGGCUGUUCGCCUAUUAAAGCGGUACGUGAGCUGGGUUCAGAACGUCGAGAGACAGUUCGGUCCAUAUCCGGUGUAAGCGUUAGAGCAUUGAAAGGAGCUUUCCUUAGUACGAGAGGACCGGGAAUGACACACCACUGAUUUGCCAGUUUUUGUACCAACGGAAAACGCUGGGUAGUCACGUGUGGAGUGGAUAA